RNAcentral lists this ribosomal RNA (253 nucleotides) under uncultured bacterium. Its description in RNAcentral is "partial 16S ribosomal RNA". It matches the Rfam family "Bacterial small subunit ribosomal RNA", at positions 524 to 776 of the family's 1533-position model. The record is from RNAcentral.
UAUGUAUGGUGCAAGCGUUAUCCGGAAUGACUGGGUGUAAAGGGAGCGUAGACGGUUGUUCAAGUCUGAUGUGAAAGCCCUCGGCUUAACUGGGGGAGUGCAUUGGAAACUGAAGGACUAGAGUAUCGGAGAGGCAAGUGGAAUUCCUAGUGUAGCGGUGAAAUGCGUAGAUAUUAGGAGGAACACCAGUGGCGAAGGCGGCUUGCUGGACGAAAACUGACGUUGAGGCUCGAAAGCGUGGGGAGCAAACAGG